This 411-nucleotide ribosomal RNA is filed under the name uncultured bacterium. Its description in RNAcentral is "bacterial SSU rRNA". It matches the Rfam family "Bacterial small subunit ribosomal RNA", at positions 30 to 422 of the family's 1533-position model. The record is from RNAcentral.
AUUGAACGCUGGCGGCGUGCCUAACACAUGCAAGUCGAGCGGUAAACAGGUGUAGCAAAUACAUGCUGACGAGUGGCGAACGGGUGAGUAAUGCUUUGGAAUCUUCCCAGUAGUGGGGAAUAACCAGUCGAAAAGAUUGGCUAAUACCGCAUACGUCUGUAAAAGGGAAAGCGGGGGACUCGCCUCUUCUUCGGAAGAGAGGCCUCGCGCUAUUGGAUGAGCCAAAGCGGAUUAGCUAGUUGGUGGGGUAAUGGCCUACCAAGGCGACAAUCCGUAGCUGGUCUGAGAGGACGACCAGCCACACCGGAACUGAGACACGGUCCGGACUCCUACGGGAGGCAGCAGUGGGAAUAUUGGACAAUGGGGAAACCCUGAUCCAGCGACGCCGCGUGUGUGAAGAAGGCCUGCGGG